CUACACGACCGUACCGCAAACCGACACUGGUGCGCGAGAUGAGUAUCCUAAGGCGCUUGAGAGAACUCAGGAGAAGGAACUCGGCAAAUUGACACCGUAACUUCGGAAGAAGGUGUGCCUUUAGUAGGUGAACCAUUUACUUGGGGAGCCCAAUGAGGCUGCAAAAAAUCGGUGGCUGCAACUGUUUAUUAAAAACACAGCACUCUGCUAAGACGAAAGUCGACGUAUAGGGUGUGACGCCUGCCCGGUGCUGGAAGAUUAAAUGAUGGGGUGCAAGCUCUUGAUUGAAGUCCCAGUAAACGGCGGCCGUAACUAUAACGGUCCUAAGGUAGCGAAAUUCCUUGUCGGGUAAGUUCCGACCUGCACGAAUGGCGUAAUGAUGGCCACACUGUCUCCUCCUGAGACUCAGCGAAGUUGAAAUGUUUGUGAUGAUGCAAUCUCCCCGCGGAAAGACGGAAAGACCCCAUGAACCUUUACUGUAGCUUUGUAUUGGACUUUGAACAGAUCUGUGUAGGAUAGGUGGGAGGCUUUGAAGUGUGGUCGCUAGAUCGCAUGGAGCCAACGUUGAAAUACCACCCUGGUGUGUUUGAGGUUCUAACCUAGGUCCAUUAUCUGGAUCGGGGACAGUGCAUGGUAGGCAGUUUGACUGGGGCAGUCUCCUCCCAAAGUGUAACGGAGGAGUUCGAAGGUACGCUAGGUACGGUCGGACAUCGUGCUAAUAGUGCAAUGGCAUAAGCGUGCUUAACUGCGAGACUGACAAGUCGAGCAGAUGCGAAAGCAGGACAUAGUGAUCCGGUGGUUCUGUAUGGAAGGGCCAUCGCUCAACGGAUAAAAGGUACUCUGGGGAUAACAGGCUGAUACCGCCCAAGAGUUCAUAUCGACGGCGGUGUUUGGCACCUCGAUGUCGGCUCAUCUCAUCCUGGGGCUGUAGCCGGUCCCAAGGGUAUGGCUGUUCGCCAUCUAAAGAGGUACGUGAGCUGGGUUUAAAACGUCGUGAGACAGUUUGGUCCCUAUCUUCCGUGGGCGCUGCAGAUUUGAGGAAGCCUGCUCCUAGUACGAGAGGACCGGAGUGGACGAACCUCUGGUGUAUCGGUUGUCACGCCAGUGGCAUUGCCGAGUAGCUAAGUUCGGAAGAGAUAACCGCUGAAAGCAUCUAAGCGGGAAACUCGUUUCAAGAUUAGAUCUGCCGGGGCCUUGAGCCCCCUAAAGAGUCGUUCAAGACCAGGACGUUGAUAGGUCAGGUGUGGAAGCGA
This 1253-nucleotide ribosomal RNA is filed under the name metagenome. RNAcentral describes it as "bacterial LSU rRNA". It matches the Rfam family "Bacterial large subunit ribosomal RNA", at positions 1634 to 2876 of the family's 2925-position model. The record is from RNAcentral.